Juglans microcarpa x Juglans regia is the source of this 1501-nucleotide long non-coding RNA. RefSeq lists it as uncharacterized. The transcript is spliced from 2 exons. The record is from RefSeq and is a predicted model, not a curated record. Lineage: Eukaryota; Viridiplantae; Streptophyta; Magnoliopsida; Fagales; Juglandaceae.
AACCGGGCUUUAGGCCCAGCCCCUUUGAAAUUAGUCGGAUGCACGAAGCCCAGCCCACAAGCAUGUGAUGCGAGACCGAGCGGCGUCGUUUGGAUGAUUGGUUAAUUCCCCUUUUCCGGAUGCACUGUUCUUCGUCUUCGCGUUUUCUCCCCCACUGCUCUGCAUUUCCGCAUCUUACUCAACCGUGCGCACCAACCCAUUACUCUAGCAGUUGAUUUUCAUCUCUUACCACGCUCAAGAAUCGGUUUCGCUCACUUCUGCAGACUUUUCAAUCGGUUCCUCUCAUCUGUUUUUCCUCUUCUUCAUCUCUUCACCGUGCGCUCAACUCAAGGUUUUGGAACUUCAAAUUGUAUUUCCACUACAAUUUCGUUCAGCAUCUGAUCAAAUUUUGGUAAUUUCUUCCUUCAAUCCCGCUUUUCUCUCUUUCUUUUUAUGGUUUUUCUUCUUUCUUUUCCCUGUUCUUCUGGUUUUGCUCGCGCGGCUUCUCUUUAUUUUGGUUCUGCUCGAUUUUGCUCACACACACAAACCACUCCACUUUGGCUUGCCGUCGCCCACACUCAACUUCUCAAGCCUUCCUUGUGCAGGUCACAUUCUCUUUAACUAGAGAUUGCUGUGAAUUUCUUUUUGGGGCGUGGAUUGCAGUGAAUUGCAGCGGCUCAUUCGAAGUAGUUUGAAGUUUUGUGAUUUCUUUUGGGAUAAGUUCCCCGAAGCUUUUGGUGGUUUUGAAUGUUAGGUUUGGACUAUGAAAUUGUAAUAGAGUUACUGAUUUGAUGGUGGUUGAGUAUGAUGGAAUUCUUGAUGUUGAGGAGUAUGGUUUUGGAUGGAUUUGUGAGACUGUUUUGGACUAUUAUUUGAGACUAUUUAGUGUAAAUUGAUGGGUGUUUUGAGCUAGUUGUUUUGAAUUUUUAUGCAAGUCUUAAAUUGUUGAGUGAAUAAAAUAUUGAUGCGGACACUGAAAACUUUAUUUGAAGGUUGGAGGUGAAGUUUGGUUUGGGUAUGUUAUAAUCUUUGGGGUUGUUGUCGUUGGUUUUGGAAAUAAUUUUGGUUGAUUUGGUGUUGAUAAAAGGUGGUUGUUUUGGAUUUUAAAUGCGAAUGGUUUGAGGAGAGAGCUAUUCGGGUUUAAUUGUUAUGAUAGUUAUUGAGUUGUGAAGGGACUGUUUUGAUUUAUUUAUCAAUAAAUAGUAGCCUACUAGAUUGGUUAUUAAAUGUUGGAUAUAUGUUUUUGUUUAGGUGGUGUUACUACUAGAGUUCUGACUCAAGGUGUUGAUAAUACGAAGAAGUCAGAUGACAUUGAUGGUUCAGCUGAGGAUCAGUAUUAGAGUUUAUGGAGAAGAUUAGCAGUGAAUGGUUGUUGGGUAUCCCGUAGUAUUAGUGUUGAUGUUAGAAGUUGUUUAUAUUUUCUUAAGUUUGCUUCAGUGGAUUUAGACGGUUUAUGGAGACUUAUGUUAAUGUUACAUUAUUUCUAGUUUGUUAUUUGAGACAUGAAGAAGAGUUGAUUUUA